This is a small nuclear RNA of Arvicola amphibius (Eurasian water vole), 163 nucleotides long. RefSeq annotates it as U1 spliceosomal RNA. The record is from RefSeq and is a predicted model, not a curated record. Lineage: Eukaryota; Metazoa; Chordata; Mammalia; Rodentia; Cricetidae. The transcript has a single exon.
AUACUGACCUGGCAGGGGAAAUGCCAUGAUUAACAAUAUGUUUAUCCCAAAGCGUGGCUUAUCCAGCUUACUCCAGAUGUGCCAAACCCUGUGAGUAUGGGAAACUUGACCGCAUAAUUUGUGGUAGUUGUGGGGGGGAGGAUUGUGAUUGUGCUCUCUCCUA